CGCGGAACGACACGAAACGACGGUGAAUGUUAAAAAUCAAACUCAUAACCUGAAGGCCGCAGGUUCAAAUCCUGCCCCGCAACCA
Molecule: transfer RNA, 85 nt
Filed under: Brucella grignonensis
Lineage: Bacteria; Pseudomonadati; Pseudomonadota; Alphaproteobacteria; Hyphomicrobiales; Brucellaceae
Description: Ochrobactrum grignonense tRNA-Leu
Source: RNAcentral